UACGUAGGUGGCAAGCAUUGUCCGGAUUUAUUGGGCGUAAAGCGAGUGCAGGCGGCUCAAUAAGUCUGAUGUGAAAGCCUUCGGCUCAACCGGAGAAUUGCAUCAGAAACUGUUGAACUAGAGUGCAGAAGAGGAGAGUGGAACUCCAUGUGUAGCGGUGGAAUGCGUAGAUAUAUGGAAGAACACCAGUGGCGAAGGCGGCUCUCUGGUCUGCAACUGACGCUGAGGCUCGAAAGCAUGGGUAGCGAACAGG
RNAcentral lists this ribosomal RNA (253 nucleotides) under uncultured bacterium. Its description in RNAcentral is "partial 16S ribosomal RNA". It matches the Rfam family "Bacterial small subunit ribosomal RNA", at positions 524 to 776 of the family's 1533-position model. The record is from RNAcentral.